RNAcentral lists this long non-coding RNA (2485 nucleotides) under Sinocyclocheilus anshuiensis. RNAcentral describes it as "lncRNA (ENSSANG00000046877.1)". Lineage: Eukaryota; Metazoa; Chordata; Actinopteri; Cypriniformes; Cyprinidae. The record is from RNAcentral.
CUCAGGGCCUGACCAGCUCAGAGCUGCUGCGCAUGCGCACCGGAGCAGCGCUAAUGGCGGAGAGCGUGCGGUCGCCGUUCGAUUACCGGGAGCCCCCGACCCUCGACAGCGACGGGGAUGGAGGAAAGCCGCCGCCGCCGCGCGGGCGAGUGUGUGGCAGGAAGAGGAAGGGGACGCCGGUGAAGGUGUGUGAAAGAGCGGCGUAUGUGACGGAGGACGAGGAGGAGAGUCUGUCUGAGCACAGUUACAGCCCAGGGGAUGAGCAGUACACAGAGGGAGCUGAAGACCGGAUUCCUGCGCCGAGCAGCCCGUUCUUCCUCACCGACCCGGCACAGCUCUGUGUGCCAGAGCUGGCUGAAGAGGGCGCUAGCGGCGUCCGCGGUCCUGUGCUGUUCCACCCAGCGCCCAACUGCAGGAUUAGAGAGGUGCAUUGUGGGAGUCAGGUCCGGCUCGUCGUCAUAGCCAUUCGAGACAUUGCCAAAGGCGAGGAGAUCACAGUGGACUACAGCCUGACCGACUGGGGAGAAAAUGCCAUGGGCUUUCAUACUUCAGUGUCCCCGCGCGGGUUUGAAUGUGGAUUCAACCCAGAGAGCAACAUCAAGAAGGAGGAGGAGCCGGGUUCACUCCCAAUGUCUCUCAGCGUUUCUGACUACCUCACUCCGUCAUGGUCCCUGUCUCCCUCCUCCUCUCCGCUGUCUCACUCCGAGGCCAGCGACUCCGACCAAGAGGAGGACGAAGAGGAGGAGGACGACGACGAUGAUGAUGAUGACGAUGACGAAGAUGAUCUGGAGGACCUGCGGGGCCGCAUGAUGAGACGCCGCAAGAAACAGAAAACCUCGGCGACCGUCAAGAAGAAAGCCCAGCCCCGCCCCCUGUCCUUCACAUGCCCCGCCCCCUCCUCGCCGACGCCCUUCCAGCAGCCUCUAGCCCCGCCCACCACCAACAUAAACAAUAACAUAAACAUAAACAUCGGCGCGAGCGGCGCGCUCUCCCGGAGACAGCACUGUCCCUACUGCGGCCGUCACUUCCGCUCGCUCGCUAGGCACCUGGAGAAACACCACGAGCAGCAGCCCGAGGUCCGAGCCGCCAUGGAGCUGUCGCACCCCCCCGCCUCCUCGCACCCCGUCACAUCUCCCUCUCAGCCCUCGUCCUCCCUGUUUCCCCGCGAGCGAGACGCUUCGUCUUCAGCGCCGAAGUCCGGAGGCGUCUCCUUCUCGCUCUCGCUGUCUCCGCCUCCUGCCUCCAAUACCGCAAAAAAGAGCUCAGCGACAGCGCCUAAAAACAAGAGCCCGGCCGUCUCGCCCAAGCCUCCCGCCAGGAGAGGACGGCCGCCGAAGAAAGAGAAAGAACAGCAGCAGAAGAAGCAGGAGGAGGUGGAGGAGAAGAAUCAAGAAGACGGAGGCGCAGAGGAGAAGAACAGUGACGUGGCGAGCUCUGGGCGCUCUCACAUGCCUCCUCUGCUGUCGUCGCUCUCCACACUGGUGCUGUAUCUCCGGCGGCAGCAGCACUCCUCGUUCCUGUCUCUGUCGCGCGCUCCUCCGUCCGCCGAGGCCUGGCGUCUGCUCUGCCACUCCAGCCUGGCCCUGCUGAUCCUCUACAACCGGCACCGCGAGUGUGAGGUGGCCAAGCUCACGCUGCAGGACUACCGCAGCCGCGCUGCUCCCUCCUCUCCCUCGCUCGACUCCUCGCUCUCCCCGUUCGAGCGCGCCGUCCUCGGCCAGCUCCCGUGUGUUAGCGUGCUGGGCAAACGCGGCCGCCUCCAGCCGCUCAUCCUUCCUCCGCACUCGGAGGCGUGUCUGGAUCUGCUCCUGGAGACGUCUGCAGACGUGGGCGUGGAUCCCCAGAGCCCCUAUGUGUUCUCCCGGCCGUAUCACUCCCCGGCCACGCCGCUGCGCGGAACCGACCUGCUGCGGAGCCUGGCGCGCUCUAGCGGCGCUAAGAACCCCGCGACGCUCACCGCCCCCCGCGUGCGGCGACAGGUGGCCAUCCUGACCCAGCUGCUGCUGCUGGAGGAGGGAGAGCGCGCCGCCAAACGCCUGGAGGACUUCCUGCAGAGGGAGUAUCACGUGAGCCAGAGCUGCGCUCGGAUUGGCCAGGACCCGGCGCUGAUGAACCGCGUGGGGAGAGUGGUUCUCUACGGAGAGAGAGAGGGAGUGCUGUUCAGAGGAAUGAGCCUGCAGCACAUCUGCCUCGAGCUGGACGUGAUGUCGGGGAACUCUGGCGACUCUUUCUCUGAUGACUCUGAUGGAGAGGCCAGUAAGAGUAAAGACACUGGAAAGAAGAAAGGGUCGCGUAAUCGAGCGCCGCGGCCGAAGAAGAGCAGCAGCCCUCAUCAGUCCACCAGCACACCGUCAGCGGCACACAAGAGACGCAGCGCUCAGGUCAAGUCCGGGAAGCGCGGCGUGCUGAAGCGGCCGUGGUCGGAGGCGGAGCGAGUCGCCGUGGAGACGCACCUGAAGAGGAACAUCAUGGAGCUGCGUGUUCC